This 294-nucleotide ribosomal RNA is filed under the name uncultured bacterium. Its description in RNAcentral is "partial 16S ribosomal RNA". It matches the Rfam family "Bacterial small subunit ribosomal RNA", at positions 333 to 619 of the family's 1533-position model. The record is from RNAcentral.
AUUUGCCUACGGGGGGCAGCAGUAGGGAAUCUUCCACAAUGGGCGAAAGCCUGAUGGAGCAACGCCGCGUUGGAGAAGAAGGUCUUCGGAUCAUAAAACCCUGUUGUUAGAGAAGAAAGUGCGUGAGAGUAACUGUUCACGUUUCGACGGUAUCUAACCAGAAAGCCACGGCUAACUACGUGCCAGCAGCCGCGGUAAUACGUAGGUGGCAAGCGUUAUCAGUAUUUAUUGAGCGUAAAGGGAACGCAGGCGGUCUUUUAAGUCUGAUGUGAAAGCCUUCGGCUUAACCGGAGU